RNAcentral lists this ribosomal RNA (179 nucleotides) under uncultured bacterium. RNAcentral describes it as "partial 16S ribosomal RNA". It matches the Rfam family "Bacterial small subunit ribosomal RNA", at positions 1322 to 1500 of the family's 1533-position model. The record is from RNAcentral.
GAAGCUGGAAUUGCUAGUAAUGGCAGGUCAGCAUACUGCCGUGAAUACGUUCCCGGGCCUUGUACACACCGCCCGUCACACCAUGGGAGUUGGGAAUGCCCGAAGUCAGUGACCCAACCGCAAGGAGGGAGCUGCCGAAGGCAGGCUUGAUAACUGGGGUGAAGUCGUAACAAGGUAGC